GCACAAGCGGUGGAGCAUGUGUUUAAUUCGAAGCAACGCGAAGAACCUUACCAGGUCUUGACAUCCCGAUGCUAUUUCUAGAGAUAGAAAGUUACUUCGGUACAUCGGUGACAGGUGGUGCAUGGUUGUCGUCAGCUCGUGUCGUGAGAUGUUGGGUUAAGUCCCGCAACGAGCGCAACCCCUAUUGUUAGUUGCCAUCAUUCAGUUGGGCACUCUAGCGAGACUGCCGGUAAUAAACCGGAGGAAGUGGGGAUGACGUCAAAUCAUCAUGCCCCUUAUGACCUGGGCUACACACGUGCUACAAUGGUUGGUACAACGAGUUGCGAGUCGGUGACGGCGAGCUAAUCUCUUAAAGCCAAUCUCAGUUCGGAUUGUAGGCUGCAACUCGCCUACAUGAAGUCGGAAUCGCUAGUAAUCGCGGAUCAGCACGCCGCGGUGAAUACGUUCCCGGGCCUU
RNAcentral lists this ribosomal RNA (456 nucleotides) under uncultured Streptococcus sp. RNAcentral's name for it is "bacterial SSU rRNA". It matches the Rfam family "Bacterial small subunit ribosomal RNA", at positions 923 to 1382 of the family's 1533-position model. Lineage: Bacteria; Bacillati; Bacillota; Bacilli; Lactobacillales; Streptococcaceae. The record is from RNAcentral.